UACGAAGGGAGCUAGCGUUGUCCGGAAUUAUUGGGCGUAAAGCGCGCGCAGGCGGUCCCUUAAGUCUGAUGUGAAAGCCCACGGCUCAACCGUGGAGGGUCAUUGGAAACUGGGGGACUUGAGUACAGAAGAGGAAAGCGGAAUUCCACGUGUAGCGGUGAAAUGCGUAGAGAUGUGGAGGAACACCAGUGGCGAAGGCGGCUUUCUGGUCUGUAACUGACGCUGAGGCGCGAAAGCGUGGGGAGCAAACAGG
RNAcentral lists this ribosomal RNA (253 nucleotides) under uncultured bacterium. Its description in RNAcentral is "partial 16S ribosomal RNA". It matches the Rfam family "Bacterial small subunit ribosomal RNA", at positions 524 to 776 of the family's 1533-position model. The record is from RNAcentral.